UGGAACUCUUCCUAACCGAACCGCUGCAUUUACUACUCCGAAUUUACUACUCAGCACGCAAAUCUUCAAAAGAAGAAACGGAUGUUACCAAAGCCAAAAGGAGCCCCCACGUCUGGACCUCCGUGGCUUUGUGCAACUGUUCCCUCCGGCCACCACCAGGGACAAGGGCUGCCCCGGCCCUCAGCCGCGAGCCUGUCGGCCUCCUCGCCUUUGCGGGGGCAUCAAGUCCCCGGGACUGAGGCUGGACCACCAUCGCGCGCCGCGGGGACAGGGGCUGGCGGCCACCGCGAUGCAGAGGCAGGCGAGCUCCGAGCCGGUCCAGCCGAGCUCCACACCUGCCAGUUGCGGUCGCCCGGCCUCCCUUCUCCUAGGGGCACUUCCGCGGGGUUCUGGCCAGGGCGCGUCUGGGCCGGACUGGUGGCCAGGCGGGGACAGAGAGGUCCGCCCCAGGAGACCCCAGAGGGGGGCGCUCGCUGCGCAGACCCGAGGGGCAACAGGUGGCCCCCAGCCCUGGUCUCUCUCCCCCCACCCCCAAAGGUCCUCAAAGGCCCUUCCGAGGGGCCCCGCCCCAUCCCCACUCCACCCCGCUCCGCCCCCGCGAGGAGAGGGCGCAGAGACCUAACCCCGCUGGUUGGCGCGGGCAGGUCCCCCGUGGGGCCGCACGGAUUCCGCCGGCCCUGCUCCCGCCCUUAGACGGCGGCUCCGGCUCCCCGAGGGCGCACGAGGUCCGGCCCGCUGCCAGGGUGCGGCGGAUGGGCUUCGGGGCUCCGUGCGGGGUGGCGCGGGAGGGUCGGGAGGCGGCGCGCCGGCCGCUCUGGCCGUGGGUCGGCCCGGAUCUAGCCGGGGCGGAGCCGGGAGCCGCAGCGUGGACACCGAGGCACUCACAGCUAUGGGCCGGGGGUCUCUGAGAGCUCGAGGGUCGCAGGCGUCGCUGCUGCUGCUGCUGCUGCUACUGUGGCUACCUUUGCAGGUGUCGGGGACCGAGGCAUUUCAAGGAGGCAACCCUGGAGAGCCAGUCACCCUGCACUGGGUCCUGGAUGGACGACCCCAGCGCACGGUCACCCUGGACGAGCCGGUCUCGAAGCUAGACAUGGGGCUGGUGGCCUUGGAGGCUGAAGGGCAGCAGCUCCUGCUCGAGCUGGAGAAGAACCACAGGCUGCUGGCCCCGGGAUACACAGAAACCCACUAUACCCCAGAUGGGCAGCCAGUGGUGCUGGUCCCCGACCACACGGACCACUGCCAUUACCAUGGACGUGUGAGGGGCUUCCCUGACUCCUGGGUAGUCUUCAGCACCUGCUCUGGGAUGAGGGGCCUGAUCACACUGGGCAGCAAUGCCAGUUAUUAUGUGCAUCCACAGUCAGCUGGAGACUCCGAGGACUUCAUCACUUACAAGAUGUUCCCAACCAGGCAGCUGCUCAGCUGGAAAGGGGCCUGCGGCCACAGGGAUGCCGGGAGCAAAGGGGACAUGGCCAGCCUUUCUCGUGCCACUCAGAUCAAGGAGAGGAGGGAGGUCCGCAGGAGCCCGAGGUUCUUGGAGCUGUACAUAGUGGCUGACCACACACUGUUCUUGACCCAGCACAGGAACUUGAACCACACCAAACAGCGACUCCUGGAGGUGGCCAACUACGUAGACCAGAUUCUCAGGACUCUGGAUAUUCAGGUGGCACUGACUGGCCUGGAAGUGUGGACAGAGCAAGACCGGAGCCAUAUCACGUCAGACGCCAAUGCGACGCUCUGGGCCUUCCUGCAGUGGCGCCGAGGGCUGUGGGCACGGUGGCCACACGACUCCACGCAGCUGCUCACGGGCCGCGCCUUCCAGGGCGCCACUGUGGGCCUGGCGCCCAUCGAGGGCAUGUGUCGCGCUGAGAGUUCAGGAGGCGUGAGCACGGAUCACUCAGAGCUUCCCAUUGGCGCAGCAGCCACCAUGGCCCACGAGAUAGGUCACAGCCUUGGCCUCAGCCACGACCCUGACGGCUGCUGCGUGGAGGCGGCGGCUGAGCAAGGCGGCUGCGUCAUGGCCGCGGCCACCGGGCACCCGUUCCCACGCGUAUUCAGCCCCUGCAGCCGGCGCCAGCUGCGCGCCUUCUUCCGCAAGGGGGGCGGUGCGUGUCUUUCCAACGCGCCGGACUCCAGGGUCCUCGUGCCUCGGGCGCGCUGCGGGAACGGCCUCGUGGAGGACGGCGAGGAGUGUGACUGCGGCCCCAGCCAGGAGUGCCCGGACGCCUGCUGCCUCGCCCACAACUGCUCGCUGCGUGCAGGAGCCCAGUGCACACGCGGGGACUGCUGCGCGCGCUGCCUGCUGAAGCCGGCUGGCGUGCUGUGCCGCCGAGCUGCUAGCGACUGUGACCUCCCAGAGUUCUGCACGGGCACCUCCCCCUACUGCCCCCCGGACACUUUCCUACUAGACGGCUCUUCCUGCGCCAGCGGCCGGGGCUACUGCCGGGAUGGCGCGUGUCCUACACUGGAGCAGCAGUGCCAGCAGCUCUGGGGGCCUGGCUCCAGCCCAGCCCCGGAGGCCUGUUUCCAGACUGUGAACUCAGCAGGAGACGCCCAUGGAAACUGUGGCCAGGACCGCAAGGGUGGCUUCGUGCCUUGUGCGCAGAGGGAUGCACAGUGUGGGAAGCUGCAGUGCCUGGGUGGGGAGCAGCGCCCACUGGCACCACACACGGUACCGGUGGACUCCACGGUUGGACUAGGCAGCAGCGAGGUGACCUGCAGGGGAGUCUUCCUGCUGCCUGGUGUCCAGCUAGACCUGCAUGACGUGGGCCUGGUAGAGCCAGGCACCCAGUGUGGCCCUAGAAUGGUGUGCCAGGACGGGAGCUGCCAAAACACUACCUUCUGGGAGCUGGAGCGAUGCCUGACAGCCUGCCAUGGCCAUGGAGUUUGCAACAGUAACCAUAACUGCCACUGUGCUCCGGGCUGGGCUCCGCCGUCCUGCAACAAGCCAGGGUUUGGUGGCAGUGUGGACAGCGGUCCUAUACGGCCUGAAAACCACAAGGCAUUCCUGCUGGUGGUGAUCCUUAGCUUUCUGCUGCCUCUGCUCCCCGGGGCCAGUCUGGCCUGGUGCUGCUACCGACAGCCGGGAUCCCGUCUCCAGCAAUGCCUCUGCGGCUCGAGGAGGGGUCCUGCAUGCACUGGGCCCAAAGAUGGCCCACACCAGGACCCUCCCCCUAGGAGCGUUCACAGCAUGGAGUCAAGCCCAGCAGCCACUGAAGAGCCCGGACUCUGGGUUACCUUGAGGCCCCUGUCCCCACCCUGCUCCAGAGACUUCUGCCUGUGGUCACAACAUUUGUCCUCCACCCAUUGCUCCAGACCUUAAGAACUCUGCCAGAGCCCAAGAGCCACCUUGAGAAGCCUCUGUCCUGUUGCCUUGCCUGCAACCCCAAGCAGGUCAAGUCUAGAAGCCAAGAUCCUGUCUCUGGUGAGAGGGGCUCCUGAGAUGAGGAUACUUACAGACAGGCGACUGCUGACAGCCACCACAAGAACUUGGUCUCCCAGGGGCAGAGCCAGUGAAUCACACUUCCUGCACUUUUGCAGCCUGCAAGUUUCUUCCCUGAGUCGAGCUCUGCCCCCACCCACUUCAGGACCCCGGAGCCUUAUCAGAAGAUGCCCAAUGCUGCCCCAUUCCCUAUGGCUGGGGGGAUCCUGGUAGGGUAUAUAUUCCAGCCCAAGAAUCUAUCAGUCCAAGGAGCAAAGGUCAUGUAGUCACUGACGUCCUGUCACCAGGGGAGGCUGGGUCAUUCUGGGCAUUGGGAGAGGUCUCUAUCCAGGGAACUUGGGUGUCUCUGCAUAUGUAUUUUACCUAGACCCAGCUCUGCAGAAUCCAGUGACUGCUGGGCCAGAAGCCUGGGCUCCAGGGGCCCUACAUUUCAGAUUGAGUCUACUUCCCUGGAGCCUGGCCCUUGCAAAAACAAAACAAAACAAAACAAAACAAUCCACAAAAUCCUUGGGAUCCUCCUCCCUCCCUUUUCCUGCCGUGUCCUCCAGAUGCUUCCUCAACCUCACCUCUGUUAUCGGUCCUCUACCUGAGGUUUUGGAGGAGUGUGGUUCUGCUGUAGCCCUCUCACUUUGGACAUUACUCAGCCUUCCCUCCAUUCCAUGGGAGGGGACAGUGGGAGCUGUUUUAAAAAGGAUACCAAAGUAGAAGUCAGAAGAAAGAUAUGCUGACCUCAA
RNA transcript from Herpailurus yagouaroundi (jaguarundi), 4173 nucleotides. It is a transcript of the gene named ADAM metallopeptidase domain 33, with no coding region annotated. The transcript has 22 exons. The record is from RefSeq and is a predicted model, not a curated record. Lineage: Eukaryota; Metazoa; Chordata; Mammalia; Carnivora; Felidae.